This is a long non-coding RNA of Emys orbicularis (European pond turtle), 834 nucleotides long. RefSeq lists it as uncharacterized. The transcript has 3 exons. The record is from RefSeq and is a predicted model, not a curated record. Lineage: Eukaryota; Metazoa; Chordata; Testudines; Emydidae.
GCAUUCAAGAAUCUGAAAGAGAACACAUCUCUUGUGUCUCUCUCCAUGAUGGAAGCUCUGUAGCCAGUCCAAACCUGGUGCAGAAGCCUGACCUGCUAGCAGCCGCCCUGCAACCUCCCAUGUACAAGGAGCACAUGACAAGCCUGACAUUUAUUUUGAAUACAAGCAACAUUUCAAGCUUGUGAAUCCAUUUGGAGAAUCCAACUUCAUCUUCCAUUGGAAUCUUGAUAUAUCACAUUCCUACAGCUACAGAGAAAAUAAAUGAUGCCCCCAAAGAAACCUUCAGGAGCUCAGUAUGGGAAGCAAAAGGCUCAAUUGAAAUCUAGUUUGCAGCAAGGGACAAAUUUGAUCGGAAAAUAUUAACAUAGACUGGGCUUUAGCAAUCGUCCCAGUACAGGGGAAAUCGAGCGAAGAGUAAAUGCUGGAAGUCCUAUUACUAAAGGAAUUAGCAGAUUACCUGAAGAUAAGGAAUGAAAGUGUGAGGAAAGCGAUGGAGAAUCGGCCAGUGUUCCUGGCAGCAUAAAGAAGAGUGAUGAUAUGGCCGGCGAUCCUAAACUCUGCCAAUAUUGAUUGUACAAUUUUUGAACGGUCCGGGCAAAAUUAAGGAUAUAAUUGUGGCAUUAUGCCACAUAUUCUUCAUAGUCAUAUUAUUAUGAUAUGAGUAUGGCAUAAUUACGAUGUAUUUUGUGCAAGAUAAGACAUGAGAUAUCAUUGGAAAGGUUGUCAAGUAUCAGAGGGGUAGCCGUGUUAGUCUGAAUCUGUAAAAAGCAACAGAGGGUCCUGUGGCACCUUUAAGACUAACAGUCUUAAAGGUGCCACAGGACCCUCUGUUGC